Long non-coding RNA from Callithrix jacchus (white-tufted-ear marmoset), 1826 nucleotides. RefSeq lists it as uncharacterized. The record is from RefSeq and is a predicted model, not a curated record. NCBI's taxonomy places the organism in Eukaryota, Metazoa, Chordata, Mammalia, Primates, Cebidae.
UUGUUUUUUUGGUUAGCUAUUAUUUACUUAACACUUAGCUUAUGAAAAACACUGUGCUAAACACUUUUAUGAUAUAUUAAUGGUUUGCCCUUAUGGGGUAAGUAUUAUUAUCACCCCUAUUUUUACAAAUGUAACUGAGGCACAGAGGUGGAAUAACUUGCCCAGAUCACAAAGCUAGCAGAUGACUAGCUAAGAUUUGAACCUAAGCAUUUUGACUCCCCCUUAACCACAGAAAAAUACAAAGAAAUGUCCAAAGUUUUUGAGGCUUGUUUCUUGAGAGAAGAUCAGUAUUAUUAAUGAAAAUGAAAGAACUGGACAUAGGACAUAGCCUGGAUUUUUCUUGGCAAACAGAGAACGAAAGGAAAUGAUGAAUUUGUUUUGGACAUGUGAGAAUGAUGUGAUAUCAAGGUAUGUAAAUUUUUUACACAAAAAUUAUUUAUGUAAUAGGCAGUUGGACAUAUGCUGGGAAAGAAACUUCAACUAUGGAUGUGAGUUGGAGAAUCUUUGACAUAGAAAAUGUACGCUAUUAGAUGAGAGAAUGUGAUUUCUCCAAGCAAGUGAAUACGCAGAAAGAAAAGCAGAAAAGAUGGGGCCGAACUUUAUGCUCUAUGUGACUCAUUUUCAUCUAGCAGUACCUCUCCAAAACCUGAAUCUCCACGAGAAAGCUAUACAGCAAUUAACAAGUAUUGCAAGGAUUGCUUUUGCAAUAAAGAAUGGCUGUAAUGUUGGCAGUAAAUAUGAAACCUUCUUUUACACACCAAUAUUUUCAAGAAUGGCAUAUUCACAUUCAGUGUGUGGCAAGUUGCAUCAUUUUUCUUUGAACUGGCCUGAUAAUUUUCAAGCUAACAAACCUGUUCUUCCGUGAAAGUAAGUUGCCAUUAACGACCUUACUCUUACUAUGCAUAAGCAAUAGUUAACAAAGAACUAUUAUUUUGAAAUGGCAAACGCUUCCUUUACGCAGAUGUUUUUAUACAUUCACAAUUCACAAGCAAUCAGCCUGACUAAAGCACUGGGAUUUAAAAAAUGUGUUGAGACAGCAUCUUCACAUGCCUGGGAGACAAUUCAACCCAGAGGUUCAAAUGUAGAAUGCAUGUUUAUAAGAAAGGUCACUGAUUUUUCACCACUUAGGAAAGACAUGCUACAUGUGCCAAGAGAGAUAUACUUUAAGGUUUUCAUGCCUUGAAAGAUAGAUAAAAAUCACUUUCUAUCAUUCACCUCCUAGAUUUUCUAAAACCGACUUUGAGAGACAUCCAGUUCUGUAGGUUAAGUGGAGAAUAAUGCAAAUAGCUUGAGUUUAAACUAUAUCCAAUUUUAUAGAAGAUUCCACAUUUCUGAGCUUUUCUUCUUAAGCCUGCAUCUCUUUUUCUGUUCCCCAUCUUGAUUCAUGUUUCUGUCUUCCAGGCAUUUUCCUAAGAGAAACACCUAGAGGUUAUUCCAGACUCCUCUCUCUCUUUCAUUCAGAGACUGUCUAUCAGCUUUUAUCAACUGAACCUCUAAAAAAUGCUUCUUGAGUUGAGGCUCUUUCUAUACCUGAAAUAUUGUAUUAGCUUUUUGUUAAGUUCUUCUAGACUUACCUUUUUCAAACAAUAUUUAAAAAUUUUUAGCUUUUGCUUGGGUGUGGUGGCUCACACCUGUAAUCCCAGCACUUUGGGAGGCUGAGGUGGGCAGAUCACUUGAGGUCAAGAGUUCAAAACCAGCCUGGCCAACAUGGUAAAACUCCAUCUCUACUGAAAGUAUAAACAUUAGCCAAGUAUGGUGUUGUGGGCCUGUAAUACCAGCUACUUGGGAGACUGAGGCAGGAGAAUCACUUGAACCUAUGAGACAGA